Molecule: ribosomal RNA, 460 nt
Filed under: uncultured bacterium
Lineage: Bacteria
Description: partial 16S ribosomal RNA
Rfam family: Bacterial small subunit ribosomal RNA
Source: RNAcentral
CCUACGGGGGGCAGCAGUGAGGAAUAUUGGUCAAUGGCCGGAAGGCUGAACCAGCCAUGCCGCGUGAAGGUCAGUGCCCUAUGGGCGUUAAACUUCUUUUGUGCGGGAGCAAUAAUGGUCACGUGUGGCCAGACGAGAGUACCGUACGAAUAAGCAUCGGCUAAAUCCGUGCCAGCAGCCGCGGUAAUACGGGGGAUGCAAGCGUUAUCCGGGUUUAUUGGGUUUAAAGGGUGCGUAGGCUGUGAGGUAAGUCAGCGGGGAAAUGCCCCCGCUCAACGGGGUGAAGUGCCAUUGAUACUGCCUUGCUGGAAUGCGGAUGCCGUGGGAGGAAUGUGUGGUGUAGCGGUGAAAUGCAUAGAUAUCACACAGAACACCGAUUGCGAAGGCAUCUCACGAAUCCGCGAUUGACGCUGAUGCACGAAAGCGUGGGUAUCAAACAGGAUUAGAUACCCCUGUAGUC